This 429-nucleotide ribosomal RNA is filed under the name Gemmatimonadota bacterium. RNAcentral describes it as "Gemmatimonadetes bacterium partial 16S ribosomal RNA". It matches the Rfam family "Bacterial small subunit ribosomal RNA", at positions 355 to 776 of the family's 1533-position model. Lineage: Bacteria; Pseudomonadati; Gemmatimonadota. The record is from RNAcentral.
UAGGGAAUCUUCGGCAAUGGACGAAAGUCUGACCGAGCAACGCCGCGUGAGUGAAGAAGGUUUUCGGAUCGUAAAACUCUGUUGUUAGAGAAGAACAAGGACGUUAGUAACUGAACGUCCCCUGACGGUAUCUAACCAGAAAGCCACGGCUAACUACGUGCCAGCAGCCGCGGUAAUACGUAGGUGGCAAGCGUUGUCCGGAUUUAUUGGGCGUAAAGCGAGCGCAGGCGGUUUCUUAAGUCUGAUGUGAAAGCCCCCGGCUCAACCGGGGAGGGUCAUUGGCAACUGGGAGACUUGAGUGCAGAAGAGGAGAGUGGAAUUCCAUGUGUAGCGCUGAAAUGCGUAGAUAUAUGGGGGUACACCAGUGGCGAAGGCGGCUCUCUGGUCUGUAACUGACGCUGAGGCUCGAAAGCGUGGGGAGCAAACAGG